AUGGUUCAUUGUGAUGUUCCAGUUGAUAACAAGAAAUUGUGGAAGCUCAAAAUCCCUCUAAGAGUGAAGAUUUUCCUCUGGUUUCUUAACAGAGGAGUCAUCCUAACUAGAGACAAUCUGGCACGACGAAACUGGCAUGGUUCCAAGACAUGUGUCUUUUGCCAACAUGACAAGUCUAUCAAACACUUAUUUUUUGAGUGCAAGUUCGCUCGGGCAGUUUGGGCCAUAGUUCAAGUAGCUUCAAAUCUAUACCCACCACGUAGUGCACGGAACAUGUUCGGCAACUGGUUGCGGGGUAUUGAUAAACAAUUUUCUGCACAUAUUUUUAUGGGAGCGGCGGCCUUAUGCUGGGCACUGUGGCUUACCAGGAAUGACGAUGUGAUUUUUAAUAACAAAUGUGUCUCAUCUCCUAUGCAGGUUAUUCAUGUGUGUACACGAUGGCUUCGUACUUGGUCUAUCCUACAGAGGCCGGAGGACAGAGACCUUUUUAUGAUGGCGUCUACACGACUGAAGCGUACGGCCAGGAAGAUUUUCUACCCCCAUGGAUGGCGGUGUGACCUACGGAUAGGAUCUGCCACUCCUUAG
RNAcentral lists this ribosomal RNA (585 nucleotides) under Triticum aestivum (bread wheat). Its description in RNAcentral is "partial small subunit ribosomal RNA". Lineage: Eukaryota; Viridiplantae; Streptophyta; Magnoliopsida; Poales; Poaceae. The record is from RNAcentral.